UGAUCUUACAGAACAAGCUAUUGCUGUUCUG
RNAcentral lists this unclassified non-coding RNA (31 nucleotides) under Mus musculus (house mouse). RNAcentral's name for it is "oocyte_clustered_small_RNA2496". Lineage: Eukaryota; Metazoa; Chordata; Mammalia; Rodentia; Muridae. The record is from RNAcentral.